This 464-nucleotide long non-coding RNA is filed under the name Brassica rapa (field mustard). RNAcentral describes it as "long non-coding RNA (BRAP_LNC007341)". The record is from RNAcentral. Lineage: Eukaryota; Viridiplantae; Streptophyta; Magnoliopsida; Brassicales; Brassicaceae.
CAUAUUCUCAUAGAAUAAUUCAUAAAAACAAUGAAUCAAGAAAUAUAGAUCCUAAUGUAUCACAUCAGAUGAAAAAUAUUUAUAUAAAUAUUGUAUUUAUUAUCAAGUUAAAAUAUCUAUUAUAAUAUUUGUGUCAGCUUAUGUGAACCCUGUAAUACACUCGUUUCUGCGUAAUAUGCUCAACAAACUAGAUUUAUCGCUUGUAAAAAUGACAUCCCAUGCACCUAUUUGGUUUGGAGGGAGCAAAACAGUCGAAGGCAUUUGCAGCCGUAUUCUCAAACCUCGUCUCAAAAGAAACAGGAAUACACUUAUCUUUUUCAAGCAAACAUCCGCGGAAGAAUUAAGUGCUCUAGGCCGUUCUCAAAAAAAAAAAAAAGAGUUAAGUGCUCUCACUCGAUGGGAAGAGGUGUCAAGGCCUUGAUGUUAAAACCAGUCUCUUAAAUAUGGGGAGGAUUUUUCGUUUC